GAAAUGCGAUACGUAAUGUGAAUUGCAGAAUACCGUGAAUCAUCGAAUCCUCGAACGCACAUUGCGCUCCUUUGGUCAUCCUGGGAGCAUGCCUGUUUGAGCAUCAGAUCAAAACCUCAACAACGAAUCUUCUUUGUUUCGUUUGUUGGAAUUGGACUUUUUUCUAACACGAUGUAAAAAUCGCGAAGUCUGAAAUAUAUAAUCGUAGGGCUAUUGUUGGCUCACAGUACUUGGUUAUUUGCAAUUUUUGCAAUUUUCAAACUGUACUUGGAGAUUUCAACAUUAAAAAAUUAGUCUUGCGGGAAUAUUUCUGGUGAAGUCUUAAAACCGCUUCAAGCCGGAAAAAUUUGCAAGGGUGGUGCUUUUAGGAGGCAUUAUCUUUGAACUUUGGUCUCAAAUC
This 400-nucleotide unclassified non-coding RNA is filed under the name uncultured fungus. Its description in RNAcentral is "sequence contains ITS1". The stretch from base 1 to 106 matches the Rfam family "5.8S ribosomal RNA", at positions 50 to 154 of the family's 154-position model. Lineage: Eukaryota; Fungi. The record is from RNAcentral.